Molecule: ribosomal RNA, 490 nt
Filed under: uncultured bacterium
Lineage: Bacteria
Description: partial 16S ribosomal RNA
Rfam family: Bacterial small subunit ribosomal RNA
Source: RNAcentral
AUUGAACGCUGGCGGCAGGCCUAACACAUGCAAGUCGAACGGUAACAGGGAUCAGCUUGCUGAUUCGCUGACGAGUGGCGGACGGGUGAGUCAUGUCUGGGAAACUGCCUGAUGGAGGGGGAUAACUACUGGAAACGGUAGCUAAUACCGCAUAACGUCGCAAGACCAAAGAGGGGGACCUUCGGGCCUCUUGCCAUCGGAUGUGCCCAGAUGGGAUUAGCUAGUAGGUGGGGUAACGGCUCACCUAGGCGACGAUCCCUAGCUGGUCUGAGAGGAUGACAAGCCACACUGGAACUGAGACACGGUCCAGACUCCUACGGGAGGCAGCAGUGGGGAAUAUUGCACAAUGGGCGCAAGCCUGAUGCAGCCAUGCCGCGUGUAUGAAGAAGGCCUUCGGGUUGUAAAGUACUUUCAGCGGGGAGGAAGGGAGUAAAGUUAAUACCUUGGCUCAUUGACGUUACCCGCAGAAGAAGCACCGGCUAACUCCGUG